UACGUAGGUGGCAAGCGUUGUCCGGAUUUAUUGGGUUUAAAGGGUGCGUAGGCGGCCUAUUAAGUCAGUGCUGAAAUAUCCCGGCUUAACCGGGAGUGUGGCAUUGAUACUGAUGGGCUUGAGUAGAGUUGAGGUUGGCGGAAUUGACGGUGUAGCGGUGAAAUGCUUAGAUAUCGUCAAGAACACCUAUUGCGAAGUCAGCUAACUAAGCUCAAACUGACGCUGAGGCACGAAAUUGUGGGGAUCAAACAGG
RNAcentral lists this ribosomal RNA (253 nucleotides) under uncultured bacterium. Its description in RNAcentral is "partial 16S ribosomal RNA". It matches the Rfam family "Bacterial small subunit ribosomal RNA", at positions 524 to 776 of the family's 1533-position model. The record is from RNAcentral.